This is a long non-coding RNA of Trichoplusia ni (cabbage looper), 2910 nucleotides long. RefSeq lists it as uncharacterized. The record is from RefSeq and is a predicted model, not a curated record. NCBI's taxonomy places the organism in Eukaryota, Metazoa, Arthropoda, Insecta, Lepidoptera, Noctuidae. The transcript has 6 exons.
AAAUGGAAAAAAAACUAACUUCCCGUAGUUUUCAAGGUUCCGUACCUCGAAGAACAUAUAGCGGGACCCUUAUAGCAUCAGUUUAUUGUCUUUCCAUCUGUUCGCCUGUCAAGUCCCUUUUUCUCAGAAACGCGUGGAGCUAACCAGCUGAAAUUUAUACCGGAUACUCGGGCCUGCAGUCCCUUAAAGCUGUUAAAAAUUUAAACUUCUAAGACAACGCAAUAAAAAGAUACAGGAGUUUUAUCGCUAAAAGUUUUCGACACUCCCUAGGAAAGGAUAUAAAUAUUAUUAAAAAUAACCUAUUUUGUUCACCCUACCGCACUGUUAAUGACAGCUAUGACGUCACAAUACGGCGCAAAGAUUCCACAGAGAGUACAUUAUACAUAUUAUAUCUUAGAUCCUAUUCUCAUUUGGAACCGAACCCUUAAAAACAAAGACGAUAGGUAUAACGUUUUCGUCCAAGCUUUUAAAAAUCUCUUAAUUAUAAAUGGGCUUGUUUACCAUAUUAACUAUCAAUUAGAAGGUAUAAUUAAUAAUAUCCGCUACACGAACGUUUAUUAGCGGUACGAAAUUCCCGGACGACGUUCGUUCUCCUUUCAUAGUUAGCUGUCAAAUCUGUCAACUGACAGACAGUUAAUAGUUGACAAUCGUAGUGAAGUUGCCUAACGAAAAUUAAUCGAUUCUUUAAAAACAUCGAAUAAGUUAGUAAAGGUAAUGAAAUAAGAUUUAUCGAUUUUAGAUUUGUGGAUUAAAUUGCCAAGAAAAGAGUAAUUUGUAAAUACAUGAUGAUAGUCCUUACCUCUUCCUGCUGAUUAUGGAUGGCCCUACCGGCAUACAGACAUACAGGAAGAGGCACCCUGGUGCAUGCUGUUUACCAAUGACAUUUUUCUGGUUGUGAAUGAUGGACCCGAGGUCCAGAGCAGACUUGAGGUGUGGCAGCGGAAACUGGAGAGUGUUGGCUUGAAAAUCGUUCUGCGAUUUCGGCGGUCUCUCCAGUCCCGAAGCUAUAACGCUUGAUGGCGUGCACCUUCCAGUCUGCUCAGACUUCCGGUAUCUCGGUUCACUCAUUCAAAGCGAUGGUGAAAUAGAUCGGGCGGUCAAGCAUCGAAUUAACAUAGGAUGGAUGAAAUGGCGGCAGGUAACGGGAACCACUUGAGGCCCCCACAUUCCUCUUAAAUUUAAAUUUAAGGGGAAUAUCUAUAAGACCAUGGACUGCUACCUGCUUUCCUGUAUCGAUCGGAGUGUGGGCGACAAAAGGGAUAAAUGAAAGAGUUAAGAGGAAUGUGUGAUGUUACGAGAGCAGAUAGAGUAGGAAAUGAGUAUGUAAGGGGAAGUUUGAAAGUGGCACCGGUUCCGGAAUGAGAGUCAUGACGUGGUGAGGAAGGUGUUGAGUAUGUAUGUGGAUGGAUAUAUCGGAAGAGGACGACCAAGGAAACGAUGGAUGGAUUGUGUGAAAGACGGUAUGGCUGCAAAGAGUGCUUCUUGUGAGAUGACGUCAGAUCGAAAGUUAUGGAAGGAGAAGAUCCCAAAGAUGAUGAUAAUGAUACCUAAAGUCACUUUUGUGGUUUUUGGACAUUGGAAGAUGCGAAAAAGAAAUAAUAACAACAAACAACGGGCUUAACGAAAACGAAAAACUUAACAAAACAAUAACAAAAUUCACAAUCAACAAAAACUUAAAAACUGAAAACAAACACAAACCGCAUACAAGGCAGAUUCACGUCGUUCUGACUUUUGACGAUUGCGAUUUGCAAUACGAUCACAAGAUGGACGUUCCGACUCAUCGAUUUGAUUUCGAUGCAACAGUGUCAAUCUCUAUUGACAAAAGUUCCGUUCCAUGCAUCUGACAUUGGUAUGACAUAAUUUCAUCUUUGUUAAAAUUGACAUUUUUUUAAUACAUAACAGUUAAUAACAUAAAUGAUAUCUGUUCCGUUAUUAAUUAUUUAAUUAGUCUUUUGGUCAGGAGAAAAUAAUUAGUUUCGUUUGCUUCCCCUAUUGUUUUCUUGUGAGAAAAUUGCGUAGCAAGGAGUAUGAGAACUGUCACGCAUAUCGCUUUACGGAGUAUCAACAUUUAAUAACAUUACAUAUUGGCUUGUUUUGUUAUUGUUUAAGAACGACUUUAAAAAAUGUAAAAACGCUCCAAAUUAUAUUUUUAUUUGUGGUGUUAUAACACCGUGCGGUGCAAGGAAAACUACCAAUAAAUCUGUUUUAACAAUUCAUAGAUUGCAGAUGACAAUUUAAAAUAGUGAAUUGCUUUGCAGUAGAUAGCGUAUGAUGCCACAAUAAUAUGCUACCGUUUACGAAUGCAAGUAAAUAUUUAUUUUUACCUAAUAUUGAACUUACAGACAAAAGAAGAGAUACCAUGAUCUGCUCCACAACCAAACUAUUUGGUUGUUACUCGAAAAGCGUUGGCUACAGAAGUGGCUUGAUGUCAUUGGUACUGAAUAUAAUACUGUGUGCUUAUUCAUUAAACUUGAGGCUGCAUGAUGAUGCAGUACCAUUGUCCACCUUGUAUUAAGCAUAAAAAAUCCUCAUGGCAUCUCGGCCUGAAAUGAAAAUUGUCCAAGAAUAACAGGCAUGAUAACUCAACUAAGCUUACGAGUGAAACACCUGGAUGAGUUUAUAAAGAGACUGAACCCGAAACCGAUUACUUCUGUGAAAACAAUGCCAAAUAAAUAUGAAUUAUUGCUGCCUCAUCCGCCAUCUUUAUUUAAUAAGAUCCAGGAAGUAUGUGGUGCCCAGAGAAACAAGUAAAGUAUUGAAUGAGAAAAUUAGACGCCAAGUCAAAACAUCUUAAAUAUGCAAGAUGUUAUUACUAUUAUGAAGAACAAAGCUACAUGAAAAAACGGUUUGCAAGGCUUUCCUUUCUAAACCAAGUACCUAUUCUGAGAUAAUUAAAAAGUUGAACUACGC